Molecule: ribosomal RNA, 755 nt
Filed under: Staphylococcus sp.
Lineage: Bacteria; Bacillati; Bacillota; Bacilli; Caryophanales; Staphylococcaceae
Description: bacterial SSU rRNA
Rfam family: Bacterial small subunit ribosomal RNA
Source: RNAcentral
UGCAAGUCGAGCGAACAGACAAGGAGCUUGCUCCUUUGACGUUAGCGGCGGACGGGUGAGUAACACGUGGGUAACCUACCUAUAAGACUGGGAUAACUUCGGGAAACCGGAGCUAAUACCGGAUAAUAUUUCGAACCGCAUGGUUCGAUAGUGAAAGAUGGUUUUGCUAUCACUUAUAGAUGGACCCGCGCCGUAUUAGCUAGUUGGUAAGGUAACGGCUUACCAAGGCGACGAUACGUAGCCGACCUGAGAGGGUGAUCGGCCACACUGGAACUGAGACACGGUCCAGACUCCUACGGGAGGCAGCAGUAGGGAAUCUUCCGCAAUGGGCGAAAGCCUGACGGAGCAACGCCGCGUGAGUGAUGAAGGUCUUCGGAUCGUAAAACUCUGUUAUUAGGGAAGAACAUACGUGUAAGUAACUAUGCACGUCUUGACGGUACCUAAUCAGAAAGCCACGGCUAACUACGUGCCAGCAGCCGCGGUAAUACGUAGGUGGCAAGCGUUAUCCGGAAUUAUUGGGCGUAAAGCGCGCGUAGGCGGUUUUUUAAGUCUGAUGUGAAAGCCCACGGCUCAACCGUGGAGGGUCAUUGGAAACUGGAAAACUUGAGUGCAGAAGAGGAAAGUGGAAUUCCAUGGGUAGCGGUGAAAUGCGCAGAGAUAUGGAGGAACACCAGUGGCGAAGGCGACUUUCUGGUCUGUAACUGACGCUGAUGUGCGAAAGCGUGGGGAUCAAACAGGAUUAGAUACCCUGGUAG